This is a non-coding RNA of Peziza echinospora, 145 nucleotides long. The record is from the annotation of a GenBank genome assembly. NCBI's taxonomy places the organism in Eukaryota, Fungi, Ascomycota, Pezizomycetes, Pezizales, Pezizaceae.
GCUUCGUUAGCUCAGUCGGUAGAGCGUGUGGCUUUUAACAUAAAACUUCUUCCUUAUAUGAUAUCUCCACCUGUAAUUUGGGAGUAAAAAGUGGGUAAGUUAAAGGGCUACCUCAAGUUCACGAGUUCGAGCCUCGUACGAAGCU